GUCGGGAUAGCUCAAUGGGUAGAGCACGGCACGUAUGCGCAGGUUCGAAUCCUGCUCUCGCCU
RNAcentral lists this transfer RNA (63 nucleotides) under Chitinophagaceae bacterium. Its description in RNAcentral is "tRNA-OTHER". It matches the Rfam family "tRNA". From Rfam's summary of the family: Transfer RNA (tRNA) molecules are approximately 80 nucleotides in length. Their secondary structure includes four short double-helical elements and three loops (D, anti-codon, and T loops). Further hydrogen bonds mediate the characteristic L-shaped molecular structure. tRNAs have two regions of fundamental functional importance: the anti-codon, which is responsible for specific mRNA codon recognition, and the 3' end, to which the tRNAs corresponding amino acid is attached (by aminoacyl-tRNA synthetases). tRNAs cope with the degeneracy of the genetic code in two manners: having more than one tRNA (with a specific anti-codon) for a particular amino acid; and 'wobble' base-pairing, i.e. permitting non-standard base-pairing at the 3rd anti-codon position. Lineage: Bacteria; Pseudomonadati; Bacteroidota; Chitinophagia; Chitinophagales; Chitinophagaceae. The record is from RNAcentral.